RNAcentral lists this ribosomal RNA (496 nucleotides) under uncultured bacterium. Its description in RNAcentral is "partial 16S ribosomal RNA". It matches the Rfam family "Bacterial small subunit ribosomal RNA", at positions 28 to 506 of the family's 1533-position model. The record is from RNAcentral.
GAUGAACGCUGGCGGCGUGCCUAAUACAUGCAAGUCGAGCGAACAGACGAGGAGCUUGCUCCUCUGACGUUAGCGGCGGACGGGUGAGUAACACGUGGAUAACCUACCUAUAAGACUGGGAUAACUUCGGGAAACCGGAGCUAAUACCGGAUAAUAUAUUGAACCGCAUGGUUCAAUAGUGAAAGACGGUUUUGCUGUCACUUAUAGAUGGAUCCGCGCCGCAUUAGCUAGUUGGUAAGGUAACGGCUUACCAAGGCAACGAUGCGUAGCCGACCUGAGAGUGUGCUCGGCCACACUGGAACUGAGACACGGUCCAGACUCCUACGGGAGGCAGCAGUAGGGAAUCUUCCGCAAUGGGCGAAAGCCUGACGGAGCAACGCCGCGUGAGUGAUGAAGGUCUUCGGAUCGUAAAACUCUGUUAUUAGGGAAGAACAAAUGUGUAAGUAACUAUGCACGUCUUGACGGUACCUAAUCAGAAGGCCACGGCUAACUACGU